UCCCCUAGUAGCGGCGAGCGAAGCGGGAAGAGCUCAAAUUUAUAAUCUGGCACCUUCGGUGUCCGAGUUGUAAUCUCUAGAAAUGUUUUCCGCGUUGGACCGCACACAAGUCUGUUGGAAUACAGCGGCAUAGUGGUGAGACCCCCGUAUAUGGUGCGGACGCCCAGCGCUUUGUGAUACAUUUUCGAAGAGUCGAGUUGUUUGGGAAUGCAGCUCAAAUUGGGUGGUAAAUUCCAUCUAAAGCUAAAUAUUGGCGAGAGACCGAUAGCGAACAAGUACCGUGAGGGAAAGAUGAAAAGCACUUUGGAAAGAGAGUUAACAGUACGUGAAAUUGUUGGAAGGGAAACGCUUGAAGUCAGACUUGCUUGCCGAGCAAUCGGUUUGCAGGCCAGCAUCAGUUUUCCGGGAUGGAUAAUGGUAGAGAGAAGGUAGCAGUUUCGGCUGUGUUAUAGCUCUCUGCUGGAUACAUCUUGGGGGACUGAGGAACGCAGUGUGCCUUUGGCGGGGGUUUCGACCUCUUCACACUUAGGAUGCUGGUGGAAUGGCUUUAAACGACCCGUCUUGAAACACGGACCAAGGAGUCUAACAUGCUUGCGAGUAUUUGGGUGUCAAACCCGGAUGCGUAAUGAAAGUGAAUGGAGGUGGGAACCGCAAGGUGCACCAUCGACCGAUCUGGAUUUUUAAUGAUGGAUUUGAGUAAGAGCACGUAUGUUGGGACCCGAAAGAUGGUGAACUAUGCCUGAAUAGGGCGAAGCCAGAGGAAACUCUGGUGGAGGCUCGUAGCGGUUCUGACGUGCAAAUCGAUCGUCAAAUUUGGGUAUAGGGGCGAAAGACUAA
This 837-nucleotide ribosomal RNA is filed under the name Rhodotorula mucilaginosa. RNAcentral's name for it is "LSU rRNA". It matches the Rfam family "Eukaryotic large subunit ribosomal RNA", at positions 76 to 934 of the family's 3401-position model. Lineage: Eukaryota; Fungi; Basidiomycota; Microbotryomycetes; Sporidiobolales; Sporidiobolaceae. The record is from RNAcentral.